RNAcentral lists this unclassified non-coding RNA (246 nucleotides) under Chaetothyriales sp. RNAcentral's name for it is "partial contains small subunit ribosomal RNA, internal transcribed spacer 1, and 5.8S ribosomal RNA". The stretch from base 1 to 46 matches the Rfam family "Eukaryotic small subunit ribosomal RNA", at positions 1786 to 1831 of the family's 1831-position model. Lineage: Eukaryota; Fungi; Ascomycota; Eurotiomycetes; Chaetothyriales. The record is from RNAcentral.
AAGUCGUAACAAGGUUUCCGUAGGUGAACCUGCGGAAGGAUCAUUACUGAGUCAGGGUCUUCAGGCCCGAAACUCCAACCCUAUGUUUAUCUACCAUGUUGCUUUGGCGGGCCCGUCUUAACCGACCGUGGGAGGCUAGUCUUCUCGCCAGUGCCCGUCAGUAGCCCUUCUUAAAUUCGUUAUAAUAGUGAUGUCUAAGUCUAAAUUUAAUCUUUAAAACUUUCAACAACGGAUCUCUUGGUUCUG